GAUGAACGCUAGCUACAGGCUUAACACAUGCAAGUCGAGGGGAAACGACAUCGAAAGCUUGCUUUUGAUGGGCGUCGACCGGCGCACGGGUGAGUAACGCGUAUCCAACCUGCCCAUCACUUGGGAAUAACCUUGCGAAAGUAAGACUAAUACCCAAUGACAUCCCACGAAGACAUCUGAAUGGGAUUAAAGAUUUAUCGGUGAUGGAUGGGGAUGCGUCUGAUUAGCUUGUUGGCGGGGUAACGGCCCACCAAGGCAACGAUCAGUAGGGGUUCUGAGGGGAAGGUCCCCCACAUUUGAACUGAGACACGGUCCAAACUCCUACGGGAGGCAGCAGUGAGGAAUAUUGGUCAAUGGGCGAGAGCCUGAACCAGCCAAGUAGCGUGCAGGAUGACGGCCCUAUGGGUUGUAAACUGCUUUUAUAAGGGAAUAAAGUGGGUCUCGUGAGACUUUUUGCAUGUACCUUAUGAAUAAGGACCGGCUAAUUCCGUG
Molecule: ribosomal RNA, 492 nt
Filed under: uncultured bacterium
Lineage: Bacteria
Description: partial 16S ribosomal RNA
Rfam family: Bacterial small subunit ribosomal RNA
Source: RNAcentral